Molecule: ribosomal RNA, 493 nt
Filed under: uncultured bacterium
Lineage: Bacteria
Description: bacterial SSU rRNA
Rfam family: Bacterial small subunit ribosomal RNA
Source: RNAcentral
AGAGUUUGAUCCUGGCUCAGGAUCGAACGCUGGCGGCGUGCCUAAUACAUGCAAGUCGAGUCGGUAAGGUUUCCACUCUGGUAUUUAACGAGUUUGAAUAUAGGGUGGAAAUACACGAGCGGCGGACGGCUGAGUAACACGUAGGAACGUACCCCAAACUGAGGGAUAAGCACGGAAACGGUGUCUAAUACCGCAUGUGCUCUUCGGGGUAAAGCUACGGCGGUUUGGGAACGGCCUGCGCAUGAUUAGCUUGUUGGUGAGGUAAUAGCUCACCAAGGCGACGAUCAUUAGCUGGUCUGAGAGGAUGAUCAGCCAGACUGGGACUGAGAACGGCCCAGACUCCUACGGGAGGCAGCAGUAGGGAAUUUUCCACAAUGGGCGAAAGCCUGAUGGAGCAACGCCGCGUGCAGGACGAAGGCCUUCGGGUUGUAAACUGCUUUUAUAUGUGACGAUUAUGACGGUAGCAUAUGAAUAAGGAUCGGCUAACUCCGUG